AAAGUCGUAACAAGGUUUCCGUAGGUGAACCUGCGGAAGGAUCAUUACUGAUUUAGCAAACCGAGCGUUAGCGAGGUUCUGCGAUCACUUAUAUUUAAAACCCCACUCUUUAAAUUUUACAUAAAUAUUUUUAAAUGAUUAAAAAUUAAGAUCACUUUCAACAACGGAUCUCUUGGCUCUC
This 181-nucleotide unclassified non-coding RNA is filed under the name Glomeromycotina sp. RNAcentral's name for it is "partial contains small subunit ribosomal RNA, internal transcribed spacer 1, and 5.8S ribosomal RNA". The stretch from base 1 to 47 matches the Rfam family "Eukaryotic small subunit ribosomal RNA", at positions 1785 to 1831 of the family's 1831-position model. The record is from RNAcentral. Lineage: Eukaryota; Fungi; Glomeromycota.